AAAAUACUCCCUCCAUACCAAAAUUCUUGUGUUAGAUUCGUCUAGAUACGGAUGUAUCUAAUACUAAAACGUGACUUGAUACAUCCGUAUUUAGACAAAUCUAAGACAAGAAUUUUGGGAUGGAGGGAGUAUGUG
This is a non-coding RNA of Triticum aestivum (bread wheat), 135 nucleotides long. The record is from Rfam. Lineage: Eukaryota; Viridiplantae; Streptophyta; Magnoliopsida; Poales; Poaceae.